UACGGAGGGUGCAAGCGUUAAUCGGAAUAACUGGGCGUAAAGGGUACGCAGGCGGGAUUUUAAGUUAGAUGUGAAAUCCCCGGGCUUAACCUGGGAAUAGCAUUUCAGACUGUGAGUCUAGAGUACUUUAGGGAGGGGUAGAAUUCCACGUGUAGCGGUGAAAUGCGUAGAGAUGUGGAGGAAUACCGAAGGCGAAGGCAGCCCCUUGGGAAUGAACUGACGCUCAUGUGCGAAAGCGUGGGGAGCAAACAGG
This 253-nucleotide ribosomal RNA is filed under the name uncultured bacterium. Its description in RNAcentral is "partial 16S ribosomal RNA". It matches the Rfam family "Bacterial small subunit ribosomal RNA", at positions 524 to 776 of the family's 1533-position model. The record is from RNAcentral.